This 772-nucleotide ribosomal RNA is filed under the name uncultured bacterium. RNAcentral describes it as "bacterial SSU rRNA". It matches the Rfam family "Bacterial small subunit ribosomal RNA", at positions 60 to 821 of the family's 1533-position model. The record is from RNAcentral.
AGUCGAGGGGCAGCGAGUAGAUUGCUUGCAAUCUACGUCGGCGACCGCGCUCACGGGUGCGUAACGCGUAUGCAACCUACCCAUUACAGGGGGAUAACACUGAGAAAUCGGUACUAAUACCCCAUAACAUCCAGGGAGGCAUCUUCUUGGGUUGAAAACUCCGGUGGUAAUGGAUGGGCAUGCGUUGUAUUAGUUAGUUGGUGGGGUAACGGCUCACCAAGACGACGAUACAUAGGGGGACUGAGAGGUUAACCCCCCACAUUGGUACUGAGACACGGACCAAACUCCUACGGGAGGCAGCAGUGAGGAAUAUUGGUCAAUGGACGCAAGUCUGAACCAGCCAUGCCGCGUGCAGGAAGACGGCUCUAUGAGUUGUAAACUGCUUUUGUACGAGGGUAAACGCAGAUACGUGUAUCUGUCUGAAAGUAUCGUACGAAUAAGGAUCGGCUAACUCCGUGCCAGCAGCCGCGGUAAUACGGAGGAUUCAAGCGUUAUCCGGAUUUAUUGGGUUUAAAGGGUGCGUAGGCGGUCGGAUAAGUUAGAGGUGAAAUCCCGGGGCUCAACUUCGGAAUUGCCUCUGAUACUGUUCGGCUAGAGAGUAGUUGCGGUAGGCGGAAUGUAUGGUGUAGCGGUGAAAUGCUUAGAGAUCAUACAGAACACCGAUUGCGAAGGCAGCUUACCAAGCUACUUCUGACGUUGAGGCACGAAAGCGUGGGGAGCAAACAGGAUUAGAUACCCUGGUAGUCCACGCAGUAAACGAUGAUAACUCGUU